UACAGAGGGUGCAAGCGUUAAUCGGAAUUAUUGGGCGUAAAGGGUGCGUAGGUGGUUUAAUGAGUUAGAUGUGAAAGUCCUGGGCUUAACCUGGGGAUUGCAUUUAAUACUGUUAAGCUUGAGUACUGUAGAGGGGAGUGGAAUUUCCGGUGUAGCGGUGAAAUGCGUAGAUAUCGGAAGGAACACCGGUGGCGAAGGCGACUUUCUGGACAGAUACUGACACUGAGGCACGAAAGCGUGGGUAGCAAACAGG
Molecule: ribosomal RNA, 253 nt
Filed under: uncultured bacterium
Lineage: Bacteria
Description: partial 16S ribosomal RNA
Rfam family: Bacterial small subunit ribosomal RNA
Source: RNAcentral